Non-coding RNA from Manis javanica (Malayan pangolin), 999 nucleotides. The record is from RefSeq and is a predicted model, not a curated record. Lineage: Eukaryota; Metazoa; Chordata; Mammalia; Pholidota; Manidae.
UAUAUGAGUUCAGCUUUUUUAGGUUCCAUGUAUAAAUGAGAUCAUACAGUAUCUUUCUGUGUCUGGCUUAUUUCACUUAGCAUAGGUUCCUUCAGGCUCAGCCAUGUUGUUACAAAUGGCACGAUUUCCUUCCCUUGCCUCCUUACCAUAACCAAAACCUGUUCUUUACCAUCUGGGCCCAGUCCCUGAACCUCAGUGUCUGUAACUAGUGUCCAGGGGCAGUAACCUGGAGAAUCCCACAGUGGCAUCUUUGUUGCUGCAGAAGCUCCUGUAGGGCCUAAGUCAUCCAUGACACAUAAUUCAGCACCCUGACUUUUCCUCCCUAAAACAAUGGAGGGGGUAAUCCUGUGUUAAAAUCUCUUACCAGCUCUGGAGCUUUGGCUAGCAUCUCAUGAUCCUGAGGUUACAAGCUUGAGAAGAGUCAAAACACCAAGAACAGUUGAGCAGAAAUUACAGACAGAUCCUGCAUCCUUGAUGACAUGAGUGAGCUGCCGAAUCACCUGAGAUCACUUUCCUUUGGAUUUCUUGUGGUGUAAAUGGAUGAGCAUUCUAUUACUUACAGAGGGAAGAAAUACUAACAGGGCUGUGGGAUUGAGCAAGGACUUUUUUAAUGAUGAAACGUCCUUUUACAAAUGGAAGAAACACAGCCUCCAAGAGCAGCCGUUCCCACCUUGCCAAAGCCUGCUGUGGACAUUGAGGGAGGCCUGUUCAGGUAGGCCCUUUCUAAUCAUAUGGAUCCUUAAAAGCAGAGAAUCUUUCCUACUUGUAGUCAGAGGAAGAUGUGACUAAAAAAGAAUGGUCAGAAAUAUGCAAUGCUGCUGGCUUUGAAGAUGGAUGAAGGGGGCCAUGAGCCAUGUGGGUGGCCUCAGCUGCAAAAGGCAAAGAGCAAGAUUCUUCCCUAGAGCCUCCAAAAAGGACCAUAGCCCUGCUAAUACCACUGAGAUUCAUGUUGGACAUCUAUCCUACUGAACCUUAAGGUAAUAAAAUUUGCAAUGUUUU